Molecule: ribosomal RNA, 712 nt
Filed under: uncultured bacterium
Lineage: Bacteria
Description: bacterial SSU rRNA
Rfam family: Bacterial small subunit ribosomal RNA
Source: RNAcentral
GUAACGAUGUCGACUUGGAGGUUGUGCCCUUGAGGCGUGGCUUCCGGAGCUAACGCGUUAAGUCGACCGCCUGGGGAGUACGGCCGCAAGGUUAAAACUCAAAUGAAUUGACGGGGGCCCGCACAAGCGGUGGAGCAUGUGGUUUAAUUCGAUGCAACGCGAAGAACCUUACCUACUCUUGACAUCCAGAGAACUUAGCAGAGAUGCUUUGGUGCCUUCGGGAACUCUGAGACAGGUGCUGCAUGGCUGUCGUCAGCUCGUGUUGUGAAAUGUUGGGUUAAGUCCCGCAACGAGCGCAACCCUUAUCCUUUGUUGCCAGCGGUUAGGCCGGGAACUCAAAGGAGACUGCCAGUGAUAAACUGGAGGAAGGUGGGGAUGAUGUCAAGUCAUCAUGGCCCUUACGAGUAGGGCUACACACGUGCUACAAUGGCAUAUACAAAGAGAAGCGACCUCGCGAGAGCAAGCGGACCUCAUAAAGUAUGUCGUAGUCCGGAUUGGAGUCUGCAACUCGACUCCAUGAAGUCGGAAUCGCUAGUAAUCGUGGAUCAGAAUGCCACGGUGAAUACGUUCCCGGGCCUUGUACACACCGCCCGUCACACCAUGGGAGUGGGUUGCAAAAGAAGUAGGUAGCUUAACCUUCGGGAGGGCGCUUACCACUUUGUGAUUCAUGACUGGGGUGAAGUCGUAACAAGGUAACCGUAGGGGAACCUGC